This is a long non-coding RNA of Entelurus aequoreus (snake pipefish), 493 nucleotides long. RefSeq lists it as uncharacterized. NCBI's taxonomy places the organism in Eukaryota, Metazoa, Chordata, Actinopteri, Syngnathiformes, Syngnathidae. The record is from RefSeq and is a predicted model, not a curated record. The transcript is spliced from 5 exons.
UGUAAGGUCAGACAGCUGAUCCUGAGCGGACUCGUGUCUGAUUCGCAUACGCGGACGCGACAAACUAAACCGGCGCGCGCCGCCUAGAGUUAUAGGCUCCGCCUACGCGCGCUGAGCCGACCAAUGUCUGCACCCGCAGACGUGGACGCGCCUACUAGCGUGUACGCGCAUGAGCCAAGAUCUCUGGACUUUCUUUGCUGGAACACGAACCUCCACCGUCUCGCCGAGUGCCAGCAAGAGUCAUGAGUACUUGUCAACUCGACUCCUCAACUGGAGAUAACUUUCUAGCACCUCACCAUGGGGAAGGAUGUAUUCAUAUGCCUUCACCAGCACCUGCAUUAAACAUGCAGAGAGUUACACAAGUUCUUACCACCUUGGGGCACCAUUCAGGGUGCCUUUUCAUCUGAUUACAUUUAUAAUGAACAGGGACAUUGCGGUUGUCCCAAGUGGAUGGUAUGAUGAUAGGAUGGUUUUCUGGCCCAGCUAUAAAAAC